RNAcentral lists this non-coding RNA (752 nucleotides) under Agrilinae sp. 5 ACP-2013. The record is from RNAcentral. Lineage: Eukaryota; Metazoa; Arthropoda; Insecta; Coleoptera; Buprestidae.
AAAAGUUUUAUUUUAGCUUAAAUGUUGUAUUUAUUGGUGUUGUAUUAUGCAAGUAUUAGCUAUUAAUUUUUAAGAAAUUUUGGGCAGUUAUUAAUUUUUAAUAUUUAAUAAUUUAAGAUUAAGAUAACCAUAAAAAUUCAAACAAAGAUUGUGCCAGCAGUUGCGGUUAGACAAUUUGGGUUAUAUAAUAUUUUUGGUUCAUAGAAAAUUAAAUUUUUUUGAUUAUUUUUAUUAUUUUUUAGGUGAAAUUUUAAUUUUAAUUUAUUUUUUUCUUAUGGUUCUAUUAAAUUUUUAAUUAAACUAGGAUUAGAUACCCUAUUAUUUUAAAUGUAAUUUUGAUACCUGGUUAGUAUUAGUUAUGUUCUUGAAAACUAAAAAAUUUGGCGGUAUUUUAGUCUUUUCAGAGGAACCUGUUCCGUAAUUGAUAGUCCACGAUAGAUUUUACUUUUCUUACAUUAGUUUGUAUAUCGUCGUGAUUAACUGUUUUAAAAGAAUCUUAAUGGUUAAAAUAUUUUUUAAAAAGGAGUUCAGAUCAAGAUGCAGCUUAUAGGUUAGAGGAAAUGGGUUACAAUAAAUUUAUUUAUGCGGUUUAUAUAAUUAGUAAUUUUAUAUUAAGUUGGAUUUGAAUGUAAUUUUACUUAUUUUUUUAGAAUGAUUUAGCUCUAAAAUAUGUACAUAUCGCCCGUCACUUUCAUUAAGGUGAAAUAAGUCGUAACAAAGUAGGCGUACCGGAAGGUGUGCCUAGAAAGGCA